This 251-nucleotide long non-coding RNA is filed under the name Salvia miltiorrhiza (redroot sage). RNAcentral describes it as "long non-coding RNA (SMIL_LNC012937)". The record is from RNAcentral. Lineage: Eukaryota; Viridiplantae; Streptophyta; Magnoliopsida; Lamiales; Lamiaceae.
AGCUCGUGGAGUGGUAAUAGCUGAGUGAGCAUCUGGGCCCUUGAUUGAAAGAGAACAAGUGGUAGAAAGUGUAUUUUGAAAUGAUAAUUGAUAGAGACCAUCUCUAAGGGUGCCCUUGAUAGAGAUCACCUGCUGAAUACUCGCUCAAAAUGCAUGCCUUGGAGGUUCGUGGCUUCUUGGCAUAGGGAUCUUCGUCUUCUUGAGGGUUUUAGAUUGCAAGUUUCUCACAUCUACCGGGAAGGGAAUUCAGC